Molecule: non-coding RNA, 122 nt
Organism: Asterophora parasitica
Lineage: Eukaryota; Fungi; Basidiomycota; Agaricomycetes; Agaricales; Lyophyllaceae
Source: the annotation of a GenBank genome assembly
GGUUCGAUGGCGUAGUUGGUUAUCGCAUCUGUCUAACAUCGUUGUAGGGGGUUCCAUUGAUCAACCAAUUGAAGCACCCUAAUGUUCACAGAAGGUCCUCAGUUCGAGCCUGGGUCGAAUCA